AUCAAAUACAACAAAUUUUUAGUCAUCAUGAAAAACUACGCGAUUUAACUAGCUUAAAUAAAAGACAGGCACCAAUUCCAGGAAAAAUAAAAUAUUAUACAUCACAAUAAUCUGCGACAACAUCACACCAUUGGUUCAGAACAGAGGUUCAUUCAGAACAAGUAUGGCCAAUUCUACCCUAUGCAUACCGACAAUCUGAAUCCUCCCCCCUACUAAAAGCUACCUAUCCCAAAAGGGAAACAUAGUGCCUACGACUGCUCUUCACUUUCUCUUCUUAGCAGGAGGCUGUGGAACCUCUUCCUCCUCUUCUUCCUCCUCUUCAUCCUCUUCAUCCUCUUCAUCAUCAUCUGUAGUGAUAUCUGAUUGAGGAAUGGACCCCAAGCAUCGAAAAUCGAAUCUUAUGUUUCUUAAACAUGUCAAGAAUUGCAUUAUAUCUUUCUUGAAUCCAAGAGAAUCCAUCCAAUAGGAUCUUUUCUUGUGUUUCCCGUUGUGAAUUCUUUCAAUCUCUUUCAUGACUGAUUGCCAGCUCUUGCAUGCAGCGGCCUUGUGACUGACUUUGAUCUGCCCAGCACAGGUGACCUUCGGUGAAGUUGGUUCUGCAAUCUCCGAGCCCAUUUGCUUGUUUUUGGCCCAUAGAAGAGGGCUGGCUUGGCCACCACCCCCACCCCUAGUGCUAGAUUUCUUUAGAGGGUGGUGGUGGUACUGGUGGUUAUGACGGUGGUUGUGGUGGCGCUUGCUGGGCUCUGCUGGUCUUGCAGGACUGCAAAUAGGUUUGGGCAGCAAGGCUAGAUGGGCUCUAGAAGGAAAACAAACCAACAGAUCUGCUGAUGGAGCUCCCUUGUUGACUUCCCUUGCUUUCAUGUUGAUUUCUCUCUAUUGUGUUUGAAGCCACUCGAUCACUUUCUUCUUCGUGCCGGUUCUCGCUUUCAGAUCUUGAGAAUGAUUAAGCUUAUGGUAUAAUGGGUUUUGAGGAAUGUUGAGAGAGAUGGAUGGUAUUAAAAGAAAAGGAGGGAAGAGAUUGACAGCUUUCAUCUGCUUUUUCAUCCUUUUUUAUUGGUAUCUCACUUCACCAUCUGUUUGUUCAUUUUUCAAAUACUCCUUUUUGUUGCCCUUUGAAAUGGGGUCACAGCUGAGCUUCUCCCAUGGCCUUUGCUUUUUUAAUAUUUCUCGCCAAGCCCAUUUAGAAAAAAUUGCAUAUGAAUAAAAGCAAAGAUGAUAGUAGGCACGUUGAAGCCAACGAGCAUCGUUUCAUGAUCCAAUGAUACCCUCAACAUGUGAUACUUUGCGACUUGUGAGCCCUUAGCUAGCUUUGUGCUUACUCGUAAUUAGCACAGGACUACUGCCAUCCAAUUGGAU
Molecule: unclassified non-coding RNA, 1356 nt
Filed under: Hevea brasiliensis (rubber tree)
Lineage: Eukaryota; Viridiplantae; Streptophyta; Magnoliopsida; Malpighiales; Euphorbiaceae
Source: RNAcentral